CCUACGGGUGGCAGCAGUGAGGAAUAUUGGUCAAUGGGCGAGAGCCUGAACCAGCCAAGUCGCGUGAGGGAAGACGGUCCUAUGGAUUGUAAACCUCUUUUGUCGGGGAGCAAAAGACGCCACGCGUGGCGUUCGGAGAGUACCCGAAGAAAAAGCAUCGGCUAACUCCGUGCCAGCAGCCGCGGUAAUCCGGAGGAUGCGAGCGUUAUCCGGAUUUAUUGGGUUUAAAGGGUGCGCAGGCGGAAGAUCAAGUCAGCGGUAAAAUCGGGAGGCUCAACCCCUUCGAGCCGUUGAAACUGGUUUUCUUGAGUGAGUGAGAAGUAUGCGGAAUGCGUGGUGUAGCGGUGAAAUGCAUAGAUAUCACGCAGAACUCCGAUUGCGAAGGCAGCAUACCGGCGCUCAACUGACGCUCAUGCACGAAAGCGUGGGUAUCGAACAGGAUUAGAUACCCCAGUAGUC
This 459-nucleotide ribosomal RNA is filed under the name uncultured bacterium. RNAcentral describes it as "partial 16S ribosomal RNA". It matches the Rfam family "Bacterial small subunit ribosomal RNA", at positions 338 to 795 of the family's 1533-position model. The record is from RNAcentral.